GACGAACGCUGGCGGCGUGCUUAACACAUGCAAGUCGAACGGAAAGGCCCUGCUUUUGUGGGGUGCUCGAGUGGCGAAAGGGUGAGUAACCCGUUAGUAACCUUCCCUUUACUUUGGGAUAACUUCAGGAAACUGGGGCUAAUACCGGAUAGGAGCUCCUGCUGCCUGGUGGGGGUUGGAAAGUUUCGGCGGUUGGGGUUGGACUCGCGGCUUAUCAGCUUGUUGGUGGGGUAGUGGCUUACCAAGGCUUUGACGGGUAGCCGGCCUGAGAGGGUGACCGGCCACAUUGGGACUGAGAUACGGCCCAGACUCCUACGGGAGGCAGCAGUGGGGAAUAUUGCACAAUGGGCGGAAGCCUGAUGCAGCAACGCCGCGUGCGGGAUGACGGCCUUCGGGUUGUAAACCGCUUUCGCCUGUGACGAAGCGUGAGUGACGGUAAUGGGUAAAGAAGCACCGGCUAACUACGUG
This 468-nucleotide ribosomal RNA is filed under the name uncultured bacterium. RNAcentral's name for it is "partial 16S ribosomal RNA". It matches the Rfam family "Bacterial small subunit ribosomal RNA", at positions 28 to 507 of the family's 1533-position model. The record is from RNAcentral.